GGACGAACGCUGGCGGCGUGCCUAAUCCAUGCAAGUUGAGCGCUGAAGGUUGGUACUUGUACCGACUGGAUGAGCAGCGACCGGGUGAGUAACGCGUGGGGAAUCUGCCUUUGAGCGGGGGACAACAUUUGGAAACGAAUGCUAAUACCGCAUAAAAACUUUAAACACAAGUUUUAAGUUUGAAAGAUGCAAUUGCAUCACUCAAAGAUGAUCCCGCGUUGUAUUAGCUAGUUGGUGAGGUAAAGGCUCACCAAGGCGAUGAUACAUAGCCGACCUGAGAGGGUGAUCGGCCACAUUGGGACUGAGACACGGCCCAAACUCCUACGGGAGGCAGCAGUAGGGAAUCUUCGGCAAUGGACGAAAGUCUGACCGAGCAACGCCGCGUGAGUGAAGAAGGUUGUCGGAUCGUAAAACUCUGUUGGUAGAGAAGAACGUUGGUGAGAGUGGAAAGCUCAUCAAGUGACGGUAACUACCCAGAAAGGGACGGCUAACUACGUG
This 498-nucleotide ribosomal RNA is filed under the name uncultured bacterium. RNAcentral's name for it is "partial 16S ribosomal RNA". It matches the Rfam family "Bacterial small subunit ribosomal RNA", at positions 27 to 507 of the family's 1533-position model. The record is from RNAcentral.